GGCUAGUUCCCCGGCGGGUGCGGCGGGGCCGGAUCCCGCGUUUGAGUCUCCGUGUUGGUCCUUCUGAAGCGGGGUCACAAGCCGGCUAGAAGGUGGUGACGAAGACGCAUGCUUCCUUAACUUGUGAAGGAAACGGGGAUUGCUUGGCCGGCUUGGCAAGCCCAGUGACAGAAAGUAACCACACAGGAUGGUCGGUCUCAUGAUAAAUUCCUGACUGGGUAGGUCACGGUGGAUAGUCCUGUCCCAGUCCUACAGCUUCCUGAGCAAAGGUCAGUCUUUAAGUGAGCCCUGCCCAUGGUUCUUACGCAGCUAAGAUAACAACUUGGAAAUGUCAGAGUAAUGUUCUCCUUCAGACCUCUGGAAAGCCCGACCUGCAGCACCGGAACACGAGACCACAAAACUCACUGUUAUUUUGUUGCCUGCACACCAUAUCUAUGUACUGUAAUUAUCCUCUACCCACCCAUAGAGAAUGGAAGGAAGGGGAGAGUGGGAGAAGGAGAGAAAAACAUCAAUGAGAGAGAGACACAUCCAUUAGUUACCUCCCACAUGGGGCUGGGGAUGGAACCUACAACUCAGGCUUAGUAUUAAGUGGCAUCAGACAUGGACCUGCUUUCAAUGAGCUUUCACUCAGAUGGGGACACAUCCUGACUACCAGCACCUGUGAUACAGGUGCAUGCAGUGGUCCUGCUCUUGCCGGAGCUCUUCUGCCAUGCGGGCAGCCUGUGGGAGACCAGGAGAAGAGCCCGAGCUGGAGCUGGGUCUGCAUCCAGGCUCAUAGUGCCUUUGAGAGCACUUAAUACAGAGCCUGGACAGAGCAGGUCUCCAAUAACACAUGUUGAAUGCGUGGAUCCAGCUAUACAUGCUUUAAAGACCAACCUGAUGAUGAAGAGUGAUAAAGGAGGACUUCACCUCUAUUUGUGUUUAUUUCUUAAGGUCACUACCUUGAGUUGCUGUUGUAGCCUUUUCAGUGUCUUCACAAGUUCGCUGUUGUUCUUGUUGGCAUGGUCCAGCUGGAUUUCCAUUUCAUUCAGGUCAGUCUCCAUCUUCUUCUUCAGGCGAAGUGCCUCUGCCCGGCCCUUGGCUUCUGCAUCCAGGCUGGUCUGCAAAGACUCAAUGGCCCGCUGGUGGUUCUUCCUACAAGUCCAAGCAGAGAAGGCCUAGCGUACUGGACAAGCACAUUCAGUCUAUGCUAAACCUAGAUAAGAGACUUCUGAGCAUCAACAUGAGUAUAGCAUGUUGGAAGGUGAAAGUUUAUCACAUGUCUUUUGUGAUAUCGAUUCAUUUAACAUAAAAACAGUCCUGCAAGAAAACUGAGGUUCCAGGAUGAUGGAAAACAUACCAAAGGUCAUCCAUUUAGCCCACAAUGAGUUGCAUUCAAACCUAGAUGCUGAGGUCCAGUUUUAUUUAUUAUAAAAUAAGAGUUUUUACUAUACAAGUUAGUUAUAUAUUUAUCUUCAAAGCAAUUCAUUGAUUGUUCUUAAUAUAUAUUAAUUAUGUUGUAAUUAACAUAAAUAUUUCCAAAAAUCCCUCAUAUAAACUGUAUUGAUCUCCUUUUAUAGGAGGGGACUAGAGGAUUAAUUUAAAUGUUAAAAAAAAUAAUUGUUUCAUUGAGGCAAAUAAAUGAUUAGCAUGUAAAGAUCCUGUCCACAUCAUGCUCACCUCUGCUUCACCUCUGAACACCCACUAUGUGCAGGCAUGUUGCUGGAUUUGCAGUACUUUGAGGUGUAUUCAAUUUGCAGAUAUGGGCAAGGAUAUCAUGACAUUCUCAAAAGUGAACAAAAUUGGAACUCAUUUUGGGUUAAAAAUAAAUACAAGCAAAAACAUUGAAAAAAUUAAAGAAGAUCUGAAUAAAUGGAAAAAUAUUUAUGUUUAUGGAUUUAAUAUUGUUAAGGUGGGAUUAAAUGCAAUCUAAUCACAAACAACCACUUAUUUUAUGAUUCCAUUUAUAUGAAAUGUUCAGAAUAGGCAAAUUCAAAAAACCAGAAAGUAGAUUAGUUGUUGCCUAAGGCUGGGGCUGGUGGUGGUGGUGGGGGAGAAAUGGGGUUUGCCUACUAAAGUAAAUGGUAUUUCUUUGGGGGUAUGAUGAAAAUGUUCUUAAAUUGUAGUGAUAGUUGCACAACUAAAAACCAUUGAAUUUUCUCCUUAACAUGGGUAAAUUGUAUGGUAUCUGAAUUAUACCUUAAUAAAGCUGUUGCAUACACACACACACAUUCCAUUUUAGAUUUUACACACACACACACACACACACACACACACACUGGCAUAGCUAGAAAUUUAGCGUGAGGGUCAGGUUUAGCCUACUGGCUAUAGAGUCAUUGGGCUUCUCUUCACAACAUGCUUUCAUAUCUAUAAUUUAAUUUAAUCUUUUCCACAGCUCAGAGAGGUCAUUAGAAAGCUGUCAUCUUCUCAUCUGUUAGUUGGAGAAUUGCAUCUAUCUCACAGGUAGUUUUUUCUAAUUCUUUAUUGUGGCAAAAUAUACAUAAAAUGAAAUUUACUACCUAACCAUUUUUAAGCAUAUAGUUCAGUGGUAUUAAAUACAUUCAUGAUGUUGUGCUACCAUCUAUCUCCAUAACUCUUUUCAUCUUAUAAAAAAAUAUCUAUACCCAUUUCAGUGGUUCUCAACCUUCCUAAUGCCGCGACCCUUUAAUAUAGUUCCUCAUGUUGUGGUGACCCCCGGCCAUAAAUUUAUUUUCGUUGCUACUUCAUAACUGUAAUUUUGCUACUGUUAUGAAUUGUAAUUAAAUAUCUGAUAUGCUAUAUGUGUUUUCCGAUGGUUGCGACCCACAGGUUGAGAACCGUUGCAUUAAAUGAUAACCCCCAUUUCUUCCUUCCCCAUAGCCCCUUGCAAAUACCGUUCUACUUUCUGUCUCUAUAAUUUUGAGUACUCUAAGUACUUCAUAGAAGUAGAAUCAUACAAUAUUUGUCCUUUUAUAACUGGCUUAUUUCACUUAGCAUAAUGUCCUCAAGGUUUAUCUAUGUUUUAUUAUGUGUCAGAAUUCCCUUCCUUUUUAAGGUUAAAUAAUUUCCCAUUGUAUGUAUCUAUCACAUUUUGUUUAUCCAUUUGUCAACAGACAUUUGGAUUAUUUCCAUGUUUUAGCUAUUAAUAAUAAUGCUGCUAUGAAGACAGAUAUACAACUAUCUAUUUUAGACCCUGCUUCAAAUUCUUUUGGGUAUAUAUCCAGAAGUGAAAAUGCUAGAUCAUAUAAUAAUUCUAUUUAAAAUUUUUUGAGGAAUCUCCAAACUGUUUUCCACAGCAGCUGUACCAUUUUACAUUCCCACAACAGUGUAAAAGGGUUCCAAUUUCUCUACAUCAUCAUCAUCACUUGCUAUUUUCUGUUGUUGUUUUUUAUAGUUGCCCUUGUAUUGGGUGUGAGGUAGUAUCUAAUUGUAGUUUUGAUUUGCACUUCCCUAAUAAAUAGUGAUAUUGAGCAUCUUUUCAUGUGUUUAUUGGCCAUUUGUAUAUCUUCUUUGGAGAAAUGUCUAUUCAUGUCUUUUGUCCAUUUUUGAAUUGGAUUAUUAUCUCAUGGGGUUUUGUGAUGAAUCAUUGAAGUAAGACAUUUCAAAGUGUUUGUUACCACAGAGUACCCCAUCUGUAUAAAGUACUACCAUUAUUACCGUUUAACAGAUGUGGAAACUGAGGUUCAGAGAGGUUCAUCUUAUUUGCCCAAGAUCACAUGACUAGUAAGUGGCAGAGACCCAGAUGGGACUCUGCUCCAUCAUGCUAUCCAAGUCAGCCUCCCAUCCUGUCAGCCCCCUACCUCGUAGCUUCAAAUUCUUCCUCUUUCUCAUGAAUUCUCCGGUCGAUGUCAGCCUUAACCUGAGCCAGUUCCAGCUGAAUUCGAAUCACCUUGCUCUCUUCAACCUGCCAGGAAUGUAAAUGUCAGUCUUUCUGGCUAAGCAGGUUUGCGGACCCUGGCCAAGUGUUCCACCCCCAAAGAGACAGCCAUGAGGUUACCUCCA
Myotis daubentonii (Daubenton's bat) is the source of this 3960-nucleotide long non-coding RNA. RefSeq lists it as uncharacterized. Lineage: Eukaryota; Metazoa; Chordata; Mammalia; Chiroptera; Vespertilionidae. The transcript is spliced from 8 exons. The record is from RefSeq and is a predicted model, not a curated record.